GGUAUACCAUUUACUUGCUUUGUAAAAGCUAGGUUUUUAACUUGUGCAUCAUAACGAUUUUGAAUUGGGUAUGUUGCAAGUCGGUAGAUUUGUUCCGCAGUUUCCCGGAUACCAGCAUCCUGCUUCGCGAGAACUACUCUACGUUGUUCUGGGGGGCUUAGACGAACAUCUGAAUCCGAUUUUGAAGAAGUCUUGCAUCGAUGGACACUGACAAAAUAUAGGAAGCUGCACAUGAAUGUUGGGUAUUUUAUCAUAAGUAGAAUAAUACAGAAAGAUUCUGUAGUAGUAGAUCUCUUUAGUUGGGUAUUGAAAUUGGCUUUGGUGUGUCUGGGGUCCGAUGGGGUCCCAGUUGCAUUUGAUCCUACUUGUUAUUUAUCACUGCCAAUGCCAGUCGAAAAGGAAGUACCAGUUGACCUGUAUGUGGCUUACAUGGAUCUUUUAGCAGAAAGUUUUCUGCUUUCAAGGGAUUUGAAGAGUUUGCAAAAUAUUAUGUCUAGGAUUCCACAGUUUUACGUAAUUCGAUUGACAAGAAAUUUAUACUGAUUCUUGUUUUAUGUUUCUAAAGGCAGAUUCGUAAUUAUAAGAAUUGGGAAAGAAAGUUGACGGAGGCUCAGUACCAAAACAAUUAUUUCCUCCUACCCGAUUUCCUCUUCACUUGUGAUAAUUCUGCAGCGGGUCAUGCAGAUACUGUGAUCAGCAGAGAAAGUUAAAAGUGCGCUGCCCGGAAAGCAAAUUUGGGGUAAAAGAAAAAAAAGUUAUUCCAACUAGUAAGCCAUUUCCAAAUUGAACCAACAAAAAGGUACACAGUGAGAUUUGCUUAACAAUUAUGUUUCUUUAAUUGAUUUUAAAAUUAGGAAAAGGUGGAAGGAAAAACUUGGUUCUCUAGUAGUUUUUUUAGUUAAAAUCCUUUUUGUGCAAAUUCAUUUUUUGAAAUUGUUUACUUCAUUUUCGAAUGGUUCCGUUCACAGUUGUUGUUCAUGUGAGAUGUUAUAUUUACCAGUUACUGCAUUAUAUUUACCACUAUUGCAAGAUGUUUGUUUAGGAAUUACUACUGUUUUGUUUAUCUGGAAUGUUGUGUGGGAAUCCAUCAGGAAUUGCUAGUCUGCAGUAAAUUUGUCAGGCUAGGUGAUGAACAUCAAUGAAUCAGAAAAUGUUUUGCAUGGGUGGUGAAUGUUCUGACAGUUUUAACAGUUGUGAUGGGGUGUAUUUCACUUCCACGCAUCAUGUAGAAGUUGGUGACCUGAUACAAUGAACAUGGAAAAAUCACCUGCGCCCACGUUGACGAUGAUACCUGUACUGAAGUGCUGGAAACUAAAAUUAAAUUUUCUUUACAAUUUGGUUUCAGGCUAUCUUUAUAAUUUUUUAAUAGUUUUGCAUUUAUUGAUGGAGUCCGCAAGCUCUUAGUUGAUUUCCUCCUUUAGAUACCGCCUGUCGACGAUUUGGCAGCCUCACACAAUUAAAGAACGUAUGCCAAAAAGCCAAAGUGAGCUCUUCCGAGCAGAAAAGUGACGGCGUAUUCAUUUAAUUGAAAAUAGACACAAGAUAACGCACAAUUGGCGUCCUUGUCUCAAUGGACAAAUUUUGCCGUGGAGCUUAUAACCGAAAUACCAUUGCAGCUGUUCAAAAAAAGAAAAGUGUAUUAUCAUACAGGUGUUGACUAGCUAACAAUCCAGAGAUACGUCAACUUGCGAAAUUUCUAGAUGUGUGUGAAGCGCAAUCAGCAUCCUUGUUGAACUGUGAACCCA
Daphnia carinata is the source of this 1745-nucleotide long non-coding RNA. RefSeq lists it as uncharacterized. The transcript has 5 exons. The record is from RefSeq and is a predicted model, not a curated record. Lineage: Eukaryota; Metazoa; Arthropoda; Branchiopoda; Diplostraca; Daphniidae.